Long non-coding RNA from Oncorhynchus tshawytscha (Chinook salmon), 1128 nucleotides. The record is from Ensembl. NCBI's taxonomy places the organism in Eukaryota, Metazoa, Chordata, Actinopteri, Salmoniformes, Salmonidae.
CGUCAAAGCAGAGUACCCGCCCGCCCAGCUGCGGUUGGGUCAUUAUAAUUCAAUACAUUUUGAAAUAAAGCACAACACGCUGACCUUGGUGAGUUUAGGCCAUAAGUCAGCCCCUCAAGAAAAGUUGGGUAGUCUCCUGCUGUGCGGACUUGCAGUAAGUCAGUCGAACUAUACGACUGCACACAAGCACUGUGCUGUGCAUUCUAUCACUUCAGAUCAGAGCUGCUCAUGAUCUAGGUCUAGGAGGAAAGCUGAGGCAAACUCCCUAGAAAAAAAUAAAUAGUCCUACAUUUUUCAUGAUUCAUGGCAUUUCAAAAAUGUCAACCUUUGUAACCUCAAAUUGCUUAGGCAACAUGAGACGGUGAGAGGGGGAGUUUGAGAAACCCUGCAAGAGACUUCCGCUUAACUACCUAGUGCCGAAACAUUACAAAGAAAGUUUCUGGAUAUUUUCAAUUGACCACUAGGACAAGCUCCUUUUACACAAAUGGCUCACCUAACAAUGCUCCCCCACCCUUUUGCUAUUUGAAAAUAAUUCUUAAAAGCAGAUUUUAAAAAAAAAAAAAAAAAAAAAAGUAGCACUAAAAUUAGUCUAAUCCAUCACAAUCCUCAACAUGGAGGUCAUUUAGAAAGUAGAUUUGCCAAGCCUUAAUUUAGCACCAUUCUUUCAUUAUAAAGAGUGACUCAAUGUGGUUUAGCUGUGCGAAAGUGCUCAAAAUCAGUCUCAUGCGAACACUGAAGUGGGGGGGUCAUCUGAAGACCUCAGCAAAACUUGACAACGUGUUAAAAACAUUAUUACGUUGUGGUCACACUCACCUGUACCACACUCAACUGAACAGUGCCCUCCACUAAUAUUGGCAGCCUUAGUAAAAAUGAGCAAAACAGGCUGUGGAAAAAAAAAAAAAAAGUCUGCCAUUUAUCCUCUUGGUCUUUCAUUCACAAUAUUCAAAAAAAUCAAACCUUUAAUUGAAGUAAAAUUAUUAUUUUUUAAUUCUGAAAUAAAUGAAAAAUAUUUAUCUGAAACAUGUGCCACAAUUAUUGGCACCCCUAGAAAUUAUUCUGAAAAUCUAACUGAAGUAUAUUCAUAUUUUACAUUUAAGUUCACCUGAGUAAUUAGGAACACUUAAGUGG